GCCGGAGUGGCGGAAUGGCAGACGCCGGGGACUUAAAAUCCCCUGUCCGAAAGGGCGUGCGGGUUCGAAUCCCGCCUCCGGCACCA
RNAcentral lists this transfer RNA (86 nucleotides) under Thermoanaerobaculum aquaticum. RNAcentral's name for it is "tRNA-Leu". It matches the Rfam family "tRNA". Rfam says of the family: Transfer RNA (tRNA) molecules are approximately 80 nucleotides in length. Lineage: Bacteria; Pseudomonadati; Acidobacteriota; Thermoanaerobaculia; Thermoanaerobaculales; Thermoanaerobaculaceae. The record is from RNAcentral. RNAcentral also lists the same sequence under 3 other names.